Procambarus clarkii (red swamp crayfish) is the source of this 138-nucleotide long non-coding RNA. RefSeq lists it as uncharacterized. The record is from RefSeq and is a predicted model, not a curated record. NCBI's taxonomy places the organism in Eukaryota, Metazoa, Arthropoda, Malacostraca, Decapoda, Cambaridae.
UGGCAACAAAGAGCUGCAGGAAAAUACUUGCAGAUCUACAAAUGUGGCUUGGAAAGUCCAGAAGUCCCUCGGAAGAGUUAAUUGCUUAAACAGAAUCAGGUGAAAGUGAUUGAUGCAUGGACUGGCUUGGAGUGAGUC